This 846-nucleotide ribosomal RNA is filed under the name uncultured bacterium. Its description in RNAcentral is "bacterial SSU rRNA". It matches the Rfam family "Bacterial small subunit ribosomal RNA", at positions 28 to 896 of the family's 1533-position model. The record is from RNAcentral.
GAUGAACGCUGGCGGCGUGCCUAACACAUGCAAGUCGAACGGAGAUAGCAAUAUCUUAGUGGCGCACGGGUGAGGAACACGUAGCUCACUUGCCCUGAAGUGCGGGAUAACGUCCCGAAAGGGAUGCUAAUACCGCGUAAGCUCACGGAUUGCAGAGGUCUGUGAGAAAAGGUUUCGAUCGCUUCAGGAGAGGGCUGCGGCCCAUCAGCUAGUUGGCGAGGUAACGGCUCACCAAGGCAACGACGGGUAGGGGGCCUGAGAGGGUGGCCCCCCACACUGGGACUGAGACACGGCCCAGACUCCUACGGGAGGCAGCAGUGAGGGAUAUUGGUCAAUGGGGGAAACCCUGAACCAGCGACGCCGCGUGGGUGAAGAAGGUCUUCGGAUCGUAAAGCCCUUUUCUGUGUGAAGAGAGAGGACGGUAGCACAGGAAUAAGUCUCGGCUAACUACGUGCCAGCAGCCGCGGUAAAACGUAGGAGACAAGCGUUAUCCGGAGUUACUGGGCGUAAAGGGCGUGUAGGUGGCAGAAUAAGUCUGUUGUGAAAGCGCCUGGCUUAACCGGGCGAGGCCAAUGGAGACUGUUCAGCUGGAGGCCGGUAGAGGUGGGUGGAAUUCCGGGUGUAGUGGUGAAAUGCGUAGAGAUCCGGAGGAACACCAGAGGCGAAGGCGGCCCACUAGGCCGGACCUGACACUGAAACGCGACAGCAUGGGGAGCAAACGGGAUUAGAAACCCCGGUAGUCCAUGCCGUAAACGAUGCCAGCUAGAUGUUCAGGCUGCAAGCGCAGACUGGGUGUCGCAGCAAACGCGAUAAGCUGGCCGCCUGGGGAGUACGGUCGCAAGGCUA